GUUUUAAUAAUUUAAUAAAAAUAUUGGUCUUGUAAAUCAAAAAUAAGAAAUACUAACCUUUUAAAACA
Molecule: transfer RNA, 68 nt
Filed under: Megaloblatta sp. ECMD1
Lineage: Eukaryota; Metazoa; Arthropoda; Insecta; Blattodea; Nyctiboridae
Description: tRNA-Thr
Source: RNAcentral